This 284-nucleotide long non-coding RNA is filed under the name Vitis vinifera (wine grape). RNAcentral's name for it is "long non-coding RNA (VVIN_LNC004086)". Lineage: Eukaryota; Viridiplantae; Streptophyta; Magnoliopsida; Vitales; Vitaceae. The record is from RNAcentral.
GCCCCCUCCACAAGCUCAUGUACCAGCUCGCCGUCUUCGAGCGCCUCCCCCACCUUUUCUCCGCCACUGAGUCCUCCCUUUCAUCCAACCUCUUCAACACUCCUCCUUUCCAAUCCUUCACCGUCUUCCUCCUUGAAGUCUCCCCCACACCCUUCCCUGACGCCCCUGUCGGCGCCCAUCCUCCGAUCACCCACGUCAUCAAUCUAGAUCUCCCCAUCGCAGACCCUGAAUCGCAAGAAUUCGGAUCGGGCGGCGACGCCGUGGUGGCAGGGUUCGUGCUGUUU